RNAcentral lists this ribosomal RNA (205 nucleotides) under uncultured Pseudomonas sp. RNAcentral's name for it is "partial 16S ribosomal RNA". It matches the Rfam family "Bacterial small subunit ribosomal RNA", at positions 1179 to 1382 of the family's 1533-position model. Lineage: Bacteria; Pseudomonadati; Pseudomonadota; Gammaproteobacteria; Pseudomonadales; Pseudomonadaceae. The record is from RNAcentral.
AUGACGUCAAGUCAUCAUGGCCCUUACGGCCUGGGCUACACACGUGCUACAAUGGUCGGUACAAAGGGGUUGCCAAGCCGCGAGGUGGAGCUAAUCCCAUAAAACCGAUCGUAGUCCGGAUCGCAGUCUGCAACUCGACUGCGUGAAGUCGGAAUCGCUAGUAAUCGUGAAUCAGAAUGUCACGGUGAAUACGUUCCCGGGCCUU